Molecule: ribosomal RNA, 508 nt
Filed under: uncultured bacterium
Lineage: Bacteria
Description: partial 16S ribosomal RNA
Rfam family: Bacterial small subunit ribosomal RNA
Source: RNAcentral
GAUGAACGCUAGCUACAGGCUUAACACAUGCAAGUCGAGGGGAAACGAUAUUGGAAGCUUGCUUCCGAUAGGCGUCGACCGGCGCACGGGUGAGUAACGCGUAUCCAACCUGCCCAUCACUUGGGGAUAACCUUGCGAAAGUAAGACUAAUACCCAAUAACGUCUCUAGAAGACAUCUGAAGGAGAUUAAAGAUUUAUCGGUGAUGGAUGGGGAUGCGUCUGAUUAGCUUGUUGGCGGGGUAACGGCCCACCAAGGCGACGAUCAGUAGGGGUUCUGAGAGGAAGGUCCCCCACAUUGGAACUGAGACACGGUCCAAACUCCUACGGGAGGCAGCAGUGAGGAAUAUUGGUCAGUGGGCGAGAGCCUGAACCAGCCAAGUAGCGUGCAGGAAGACGGCCCUAUGGGUUGUAAACUGCUUUUAUAAGGGAAUAAAGUGGGAGUCGUGACUCCUUUUGCAUGUACCUUAUGAAUAAGGACCGGCUAAUUCCGUGCCAGCAGCCGCGGUAA